Molecule: ribosomal RNA, 320 nt
Filed under: uncultured Cyanothece sp.
Lineage: Bacteria; Bacillati; Cyanobacteriota; Cyanophyceae; Gomontiellales; Cyanothecaceae
Description: bacterial SSU rRNA
Rfam family: Bacterial small subunit ribosomal RNA
Source: RNAcentral
CGGACGGGUGAGUAACGCGUGAGAACCUGCCUUCUGGACGGGGACAACAGUGGGAAACUGCUGCUAAUACCCGAUGUGCCGCAAGGUGAAAAGAGAUUCGCCGGAAGAGGGGCUCGCGUCUGAUUAGCUAGUUGGAGAGGUAAAGGCUCACCAAGGCGACGAUCAGUAGCUGGUCUGAGAGGAUGAGCAGCCACACUGGGACUGAGACACGGCCCAGACUCCUACGGGAGGCAGCAGUGGGGAAUUUUCCGCAAUGGGCGAAAGCCUGACGGAGCAAUACCGCGUGAGGGAAGAAGGGUCUAUUGAUUGUAAACCUCUUU